UACAGAGGGUGCGAACGUUGCUCGGAAUUACUGGGCGUAAAGCGCAUGUAGGCGGAUCCAUAAGUCGGGCGUGAAAUCCCCAGGCUCAACCUGGGAACUGCGCUCGAAACUGUGGGUCUUGAGUGUUGGAGAGGAUGGCGGAAUUCCUGGUGUAGAGGUGAAAUUCGUAGAUAUCUGGAGGAACACCGGUGGCGAAGGCGGCAUCCUGGACCGGUAUUGACGCUGAGGCGCGAAAGCCAGGGGAGCAAACGGG
Molecule: ribosomal RNA, 253 nt
Filed under: uncultured bacterium
Lineage: Bacteria
Description: partial 16S ribosomal RNA
Rfam family: Bacterial small subunit ribosomal RNA
Source: RNAcentral